This 400-nucleotide unclassified non-coding RNA is filed under the name Eucalyptus umbra. Its description in RNAcentral is "partial external transcribed spacer". Lineage: Eukaryota; Viridiplantae; Streptophyta; Magnoliopsida; Myrtales; Myrtaceae. The record is from RNAcentral.
UGCAUCGAACUGCUUCCCUCACUUUCGAUCAGUUGUUGCUCCACGAGAUAAACGUUGGACGCAAGACAUGGGUUCCUGUGUUGCAUACCUAUUGCGACGGAAAUGUGUGCCUUCGAUCGUCCCUUCCAUCACGGCGUCCUCACGGAUGCUCGGUUGGACCGGAUAGUGGGGCUCGUGUUCCACGAACGUCGUCUCAUUCGACCGUUCGGAUGGACCACGGGUGCCCACUCGUUCUCUCGGAUGCGGAACUCUCUUAAUGGGCGUGGGGUCAUUGGCCCUUGGUCCCUAAUCGUUAAGCGUUUAUCGCUUCACCGGAAUGACGAUCUCGCCUUGUCCUUGACCACGCGAAGCCCUCGGGCAUCGCGACGGAUCAUGCUCGGCGGACGUCGUGAAGGAAUGC